UACGUAGGGUGCAAGCGUUAAUCGGAAUUACUGGGCGUAAAGCGUGCGCAGGCGGUUUUGUAAGUCUGACGUGAAAUCCCCGGGCUCAACCUGGGAAUUGCGUUGGAGACUGCAAGGCUAGAGUGUGUCAGAGGGGGGUAGAAUUCCACGUGUAGCAGUGAAAUGCGUAGAGAUGUGGAGGAACACCGAUGGCGAAGGCAGCCCCCUGGGUCAAGAUUGACGCUCAUGCUCGAAAGCGUGGGGAGCGAACAGG
This 253-nucleotide ribosomal RNA is filed under the name uncultured bacterium. RNAcentral describes it as "partial 16S ribosomal RNA". It matches the Rfam family "Bacterial small subunit ribosomal RNA", at positions 524 to 776 of the family's 1533-position model. The record is from RNAcentral.